GUCCACGCUGUAAACGAUGAGUGCUAGGUGUCGUGGGUUUUGACCCCUGCGGUGCCGUAGCUAACGCGUUAAGCACUCCGCCUGGGGAGUACGGCCGCAAGGCUAAAACUCAAAGGAAUUGACGGGGCCCGCACAAGCGGUGGAGCAUGUGGUUUAAUUCGACGCAACGCGCAGAACCUUACCUGGGCUAGAAAAGGCGAGAAACCCUCAGAAACGAGGGUGUGCCCGCAAGGGAGCUCGUAUUCAGGUGCUGCAUGGCUGUCGU
RNAcentral lists this ribosomal RNA (265 nucleotides) under uncultured bacterium. RNAcentral describes it as "partial 16S ribosomal RNA". It matches the Rfam family "Bacterial small subunit ribosomal RNA", at positions 793 to 1055 of the family's 1533-position model. The record is from RNAcentral.